CAGCCGCCGCGGGAAUACGUAGGUCCCGAGCGUUGUCCGGAUUUAUUGGGCGUAAAGCGAGCGCAGGCGGUUAGAUAAGUCUGAAGUUAAAGGCUGUGGCUUAACCAUAGUACGCUUUGGAAACUGUUUAACUUGAGUGCAAGAGGGGAGAGUGGAAUUCCAUGUGUAGCGGUGAAAUGCGUAGAUAUAUGGAGGAACACCGGUGGCAAAAGCGGCUCUCUGGCUUGUAACUGACGCUGAGGCUCGAAAGCGUGGGGAGCAAACAGGAUUAGAUACCCGAGUAGUCCCUGUCUCUUAUACA
RNAcentral lists this ribosomal RNA (301 nucleotides) under uncultured bacterium. RNAcentral describes it as "partial 16S ribosomal RNA". It matches the Rfam family "Bacterial small subunit ribosomal RNA", at positions 509 to 808 of the family's 1533-position model. The record is from RNAcentral.